This 380-nucleotide ribosomal RNA is filed under the name Heliothrips sp. 1 YX-2019. Its description in RNAcentral is "partial 28S ribosomal RNA". It matches the Rfam family "Eukaryotic large subunit ribosomal RNA", at positions 645 to 965 of the family's 3401-position model. The record is from RNAcentral. Lineage: Eukaryota; Metazoa; Arthropoda; Insecta; Thysanoptera; Thripidae.
UGACCCGUCUUGAAACAAGGACCAAGGAGUCUAGCAUGUGCGCAAGUCAUGAGGUGUUAAACCUAAAGGCGCAACUAAAGUGACGUCCCCGAGACUCAGGGCGCCUCCGCGCGUCCUCUCUCUGUUGGGACAGGGGUGAUGGUCGGCGCUGCUUUCCGCAUCCGACCCGCAACCCCGGGAUGUCGACGUCUCGUUGAGACCAGAUGUCCUCUGAGCGUACAUGUUGGUACCCGAAAGAUGGUGACCUAUGCCUGGCCAGGACGAAGUCAGGGGAAACCCUGAUGGAGGUCCGAAGCGGUUCUGACGUGCAAAUCGAUCGCAUGAGCUGGGUAUAGGGGCGAAAGACUAAUCGAACCGUCUAGUAGCUGGUUCCUUCCGAA